Molecule: long non-coding RNA, 3691 nt
Organism: Cavia porcellus (domestic guinea pig)
Lineage: Eukaryota; Metazoa; Chordata; Mammalia; Rodentia; Caviidae
Exons: 4
Source: RefSeq, a predicted model, not a curated record
GCCCUUCCUGCAGAGAGUCACAAAAACAGCACUGCUGAGACCCUAGACAACAGACACCUCCCCGCUUUUGCUCUGGCCUUCUGGGGACCCUUAUCUCCAACCGCCAAGCCUGUUGGGAUCACCAUGAUCCUCCAAAUCCUGGACACUUGACUUUUAAAAGCAUCCACGUGACUCUACGCAAAGCUCAGGCUGGGAAGCACUGAGUGAGAAUGAACCCUGGCCUGCUCCAGCCCACCUGAGGUGAGGAUGGUGGCCUGGGUGGGGUAGGGGGAGCUGGCUUCCCCCAAGCGUCUGGCAGGCAUGUUACUAAGAGAGAAGGCAAGGCUAGGGCUCAUUUUUCAUUUCCUGGUGCUGACAUGCAGGGGAACUGGUGAGGGUCUGUUUAAAGCUUUUAGUGGCAGCGUGACAGCUUAUCUGAGGGCAGGCACAAAGCCUCUGUAAGAACCAGGUCUGACUUUGCCUCCACAGAUCUCGGGAGCAAGGGACAGACCUAAUGACACAGGAGAGGGGUGCAGACCCCAGCCUGAGACAUGCCAGUGUCACAUUUACGAAACCCAAAGGUUGAGAGCUUUCCCUUGCACUUAGGGACCUAACAGGCACUUGGUGCCCCACAGCGGAAGCCAGGUUGUGGGGGGAAGAGCAGGUUUCCCAGCUGGUGUGGGCUGCAUCACAUACCGCAUCCUCCCUGUGCGUGGCCUCAGGGCCUGCCUCCUCCUUCCUGCACAACAGCGCCUCGCUAGUGGGGACCUGGCCUGGCCCCGAUAACAUACCAACUAUGCCCAGGGUGGCAGAGCAGGGCACCUUGGCCUCCUUAGCGCCUUCUCGAGAGUGCUUGUCAGUGGCCUGACUGCGGGGCUCCCCAGGGAAAGCAGAAGCCCCGCUCAGAUGAUAAGGAUGAAACACAAUUAACAUGGCCUAAUUAGUGAGCAGGCGGCUGCUCGCCUGCCCGGGCCCUCCUGCCUGCCCCUGUUCUGCCUCUUCCCAGUCCCGUGGUUGACAGUCGCCUCAGAGAAGCCCUGGGUGAGGCUGAGGACACAUCUAACAAGGAGGACACGGCACAGCACAGACGCACACCACCACGGGACGCAACCCGACAACAGCAGACAAAGAGAGGCCGUACUCGGUCUUUGCUGGUGCAGGUGACACAGAGCUGUCUGCAGUGGAAGGAGCAAGCUCGGGGGCUUGUCCACUGGCCCCAGCGGCGGGAGCAGGAGAGCCCAAGGCUGCAAAAACAUCCUUUGCAAGCUUGCUCAGGGCAGCCCCGCCCUGCAACGGUCUUCAAAGGUCUUUUGCUCGGCAUCAUUUCUCUGCAGAUGCUGAUGGACAGAACAAUCUCUGCAUCACCAUCUCCGCAAGGACAGGAAUCUUUAUCCUUUUUGGUUCCUGUUUUACCCCCAGCCUGGAAAUCAAGCCUUGCCCUUAGGAGCUGCUGGCUAAGUAUUUGUUGAGUGACACAUGAAUGAAUGAGUCAAAGAAUGAAAGGCGGAACAGCUCCAAAGGAGUCCAAUACUGGACUAUGCAGACUCAUGAACUACCCCUCCACCCUGGCUGCUCCCCCCAAAAAUGAACGUAGCCCAUGUGUAUUUGGAGACGUGGCAGCCUCUUCAGGCCUGGUGGGUAAGGUGAAGACUGGGAAUACUCACCUUAUAGGAGCCAAGCACACUCUGGUCAGACUUCAGGAAAACCAGCUGACACACCCAGAAGUGCACACUCACACAAACAGGCACACUCAUAUGCAGGACAAAAGCCCACACAGACAAAUACAUUCUCACCUCUCAGCAACACCCAACCCCUCAGUUCUGGCUGGGUUCAUUUGAAAGACUUGGCCUGUCUGUCUAGUGUCCCUGUCAAUCACCUACAGGGCCCCACAGUUUAGGCUCUUAAUACUAUCACAGAAGGAUCCAGGCUCAGCUCUGUGUGGCCAUGACGGUUGUUAGCUGCUUGGGAUGGCCUCACUGACCCCUUGCUGGUUUCCAUCAGUCUUUGGGAGACCAGCCAUAAUGCUAUGGUAAGCAAGAAUCUAUGCAGAGCUUUGCCUGUGUCCAUGGGGACACAAGGACCCCAAAUGGAAUAAUGGCACUUCUGAUUCAUUUAUCUUAGGCAACGCAUGGGUCCAGAACCACUACCAAACCUUGUCUCAAGUGGCCUUGGAAAACGGUCUGUGGACUGGAGGCAGGACCUGGGACCAACACUAUAUGGGGCUUGGCUCACUCUGCUGAAUCAAGUGGGCUGACACUCGUGUGUCAGGAAGGUCAUAAAACCCCAGCUACAGGUCUGCCGUGAGGAGGAACAAGGAGCCUUAUUCUGCAUCAAGUCAGCCAAUGGAAAUCAUGGGGAAGGCCUGGGGUGAAGAUGUCGGCUCUAUAUAAGUAAGAACUAUCGGAGCUGGUCACGCAAUGCACAGGCCAGCUGCUGGUUGCUGGAGGUGUUCAAGAGAGGAAGGGCAACUCCUUGGCCGUGACGCUGUAACGCUGUGGAUGCACUGCACUCAAUAGGACCUCGGGUGGAGGAUGUCUGUGGGUUCUCUUCAACUGCGAGAGCUUAUCACUCAGGUCAGAUGUUCUAAGUAUCUGGAACAGGGUUGGAUUCCUUAAGCCCCGUCUCCACAAUGCAUACUGAGGACUUUUUCCUGGAAGACUAAAGUGCUCAGUAGAGUCCCUCUUUAAUCAUGAUCCUUGUGAUUCUAUUUUUGCAUGAAAAACAAACACUGUUUAACUGGGGGUGAGUGUCAGGAAAUGGGAUCUGCGCAAGUACCCCAGAUAAUCUAGGUACAGCCCACCAUUCCUAGGCUUUCCCUUCCCUCUGUCACAGCAACCACAGCUGACCUCACCCCGAUCCCUCACCAAGGAGGAACUGGGCCUCUCACCUGAUGACCUGACAAAACAUUAGCUUGAUGUACUGGAUAGACUGAGAGAAAGCAAAGACUCUCCUACAAGAAAGGAACCCAACACUGCUAAGAUUCAAGACUCUUAGAGCAAGUGAGAUGCUACUCACAUUACAGGGAGCCCUGUGGCCACAGUUAUAGAAAGGAGCUGUAAAUCAAAGAGCGAGCACAGUUCAGCUGGACGGGAAUUCAAGGCAAGUCAAUAUCACCCCUCUUGGUUGAUGUUACAGAACUAUUUAGUCCAGGAAAGCUACUGGCACAAAGGUUAUUUCCUACAUCUCAUGUAACAUUUUAUAAAAGGGAAAAUAAAAAUAUCUCCAGGGAUCCAUCGAUCCACGAUCUCCCCUUUUACCUUAACUGACUCACCCAGGCACCUUGCAUGCAAAGAAGGCUUCUUGGGAGCAGUUCCUUCAUGUUCGCUGAGGUCAAACCUGCCUUGAGCAGUGAGAUUAUGCGGGAGGGGCUGUCUGUCUUCUGGCUCCUGGCUUGGGGGGAAGUUGGCACUCAAGUAGGAACUGGCUUGCCCCCAAACUGCCACUCACACAUGCCUUAAAAUGGAAUGUGGGUCUCACGCUUUAUAGACACCUGGAUGGGCUGGAGUCAUUGCGCCGUGGGGCCCAGCUACAUAAUUUCCCUCUCAGCCUCCUAAGAACAUGAAGAUUCUCAGCAUGGUUAAGUCUCACCAGGAUUCUGGCUCACUCAAAUUCCUUACAGAUCUGUUUGCUACUUCCUAGAAAUGGCUUCUAUAGGGGCUUGCAAGACGUGUCUAAGUGUAAUUACAAACAAAAUACAGUUUGUCAAAAAGAA